This 1424-nucleotide ribosomal RNA is filed under the name metagenome. RNAcentral describes it as "bacterial SSU rRNA". It matches the Rfam family "Bacterial small subunit ribosomal RNA". The record is from RNAcentral.
AGAGUUUGAUCCUGGCUCAGGAUGAACGCUGGCGGCGUGCUUAACACAUGCAAGUCGAACGAGCCUUCGGGCUAGUGGCGGACGGGUGAGUAACGCGUGGGUAUCUGCCCUCAGGAGGGGGAUAACGGCCGGAAACGGCCGCUAAUACCCCAUAUGCCGAGAGGUGAAACGAAUUUCGCCUGAGGAUGAGCCCGCGUCUGAUUAGCUAGUUGGUGAGGUAAUGGCUCACCAAGGCAUCGAUCAGUAGCUGGUCUGAGAGGAUGAUCAGCCACACUGGGACUGAGACACGGCCCAGACUCCUACGGGAGGCAGCAGUGGGGAAUUUUCCGCAAUGGGCGCAAGCCUGACGGAGCAACGCCGCGUGAGGGACGAAGGCCUCUGGGCUGUAAACCUCUUUUCUCAAGGAAGAAGACAUGACGGUACUUGAGGAAUAAGCCACGGCUAAUUCCGUGCCAGCAGCCGCGGUAAUACGGGAGUGGCAAGCGUUAUCCGGAAUUAUUGGGCGUAAAGCGUCCGCAGGCGGCCUUGAAAGUCUGUUGUUAAAGCGUGGAGCUCAACUCCAUUUCAGCAAUGGAAACUACAAGGCUAGAGUGUGGUAGGGGCAGAGGGAAUUCCCGGUGUAGCGGUGAAAUGCGUAGAUAUCGGGAAGAACACCAGUGGCGAAGGCGCUCUGCUGGGCCAUAACUGACGCUCAUGGACGAAAGCCAGGGGAGCGAAAGGGAUUAGAUACCCCUGUAGUCCUGGCCGUAAACGAUGAACACUAGGUGUCGGGAGAAUUAACCCUUUCGGUGUCGUAGCCAACGCGUUAAGUGUUCCGCCUGGGGAGUACGCACGCAAGUGUGAAACUCAAAGGAAUUGACGGGGGCCCGCACAAGCGGUGGAGUAUGUGGUUUAAUUCGAUGCAACGCGAAGAACCUUACCAGGGUUUGACAUCCUGCGAAUCCUUUGGAAACUUAGGAGUGCCUUCGGGAGCGCAGUGACAGGUGGUGCAUGGCUGUCGUCAGCUCGUGUCGUGAGAUGUUGGGUUAAGUCCCGCAACGAGCGCAACCCACGUCUUUAGUUGCCAGCAUUUAGUUGGGCACUCUAGAGAGACCGCCGGUGAUAAACCGGAGGAAGGUGUGGAUGACGUCAAGUCAUCAUGCCCCUUACAUCCUGCUACACACGUACUACAAUGCUACGGACAAAGGGCAGCAAACUCGCGAGAGCUAGCAAAUCCCAUAAACCGUGGCUCAGUUCAGAUCGUAGGCUGCAACUCGCCUACGUGAAGGAGGAAUCGCUAGUAAUCGCAGGUCAGCAUACUGCGGUGAAUACGUUCCCGGGCCUUGUACACACCGCCCGUCACACCAUGGAAGUUGGCCAUGCCCGAAGUCGUUACUCCAACCCGCAAGGGAGGAGGACGCCGAAGGUGCGGCUGGAUCACCUCC